UUCCAGACUCCUACGGGAGGCAGCAGUGAGGAAUAUUGGUCAAUGGCCGAGAGGCUGAACCAGCCAAGUCGCGUGAGGGAAGAAUGUCCUAUGGAUUGUAAACCUCUUUUGUCAGGGAGCAAAGUCACCCACGUGUGGGUGUUGGAGAGUACCUGAAGAAAAAGCAUCGGCUAACUCCGUGCCAGCAGCCGCGGUAAUACGGAGGAUGCGAGCGUUAUCCGGAUUUAUUGGGUUUAAAGGGUGCGUAGGCGGGCUGUUAAGUCAGCGGUCAAAUGUCGGGGCUCGACCCCGGCCUGCCGUUGAAACUGGCGGCCUCGAGUGGGCGAGAAGUAUGCGGAAUGCGUGGUGUAGCGGUGAAAUGCAUAGAUAUCACGCAGAACUCCGAUUGCGAAGGCAGCAUACCGGCGCCCUACUGACGCUGAAGCACGAAAGCGUGGGUAUCGAACAGGAUUAGAUACCCCCGUAC
This 466-nucleotide ribosomal RNA is filed under the name uncultured bacterium. RNAcentral's name for it is "bacterial SSU rRNA". It matches the Rfam family "Bacterial small subunit ribosomal RNA", at positions 329 to 793 of the family's 1533-position model. The record is from RNAcentral.